GAUGAAGAACGUAGCGAAAUGCGAUAAGUAAUGUGAAUUGCAGAAUUCAGUGAAUCAUCGAAUCUUUGAACGCACCUUGCGCCCUUUGGCCAUUCCGAAGGGCAUGCCUGUUUGAGUAUCAUGAACACCUCAACUCUCAUGGCUCGCCAUGAUGAGCUUGGACUUUGGGGGUCUUGCUGGCCUGUGGUCGGCUCCUCUCAAAUGGAUCAGCUUGCCAGUGUUGGGUGGCAUCACAGGUGUGAUAACUAUCUGCGCUUGUGGUUUUCCAUCAGAUAACCUUCAGUGAUGGAGGUUCGCUGGAGCUCAUAAACGUCUCCCCUAAGCGGGGACAGCCCUUUGAAUGUUUGAUCUCAAAUCAGGUAGGACUACCCGCUGAACUUAAGCAUAUCAAUAAGCGGAGGA
Molecule: unclassified non-coding RNA, 402 nt
Filed under: soil metagenome
Description: partial contains 5.8S ribosomal RNA, internal transcribed spacer 2, and large subunit ribosomal RNA
Rfam family: 5.8S ribosomal RNA (bases 1-121)
Source: RNAcentral